This is a long non-coding RNA of Pan troglodytes (chimpanzee), 5626 nucleotides long. RefSeq lists it as uncharacterized. The transcript has 2 exons. Lineage: Eukaryota; Metazoa; Chordata; Mammalia; Primates; Hominidae. The record is from RefSeq and is a predicted model, not a curated record.
GAGACAGGGUCUCACUCCGUCACCCAGGCUGGAGUGCAGUGGAGCAAUCAUGGCUCACUGCAGCCUUGAACUCCUGGGCUUAAGCGCCCCUCCCACCUCAGCCUCCCUAGUAGCUAGGACUAUAGGCACAUAGCACCACACCCAGCUUGAGAAAGUCUUUAUUUCUACUUCAUUUUCGAAGAGUAAUUUUGCUGAGUACAGAAUUCUAGGUGGGUGGAUUUUUCUCUUUCAACACUUAAAUAUUUUAUUUCACUCCUUCUUGCUUGCUGGUUUCUGAAGAGAAACCUGGUAUAAUUCUUCUCCUCACUCCUUUAUAGGUAAGGAGGGAUUUUUUCCACUCUGGAUUCUUUCAAGAUUUUCUCUUUGUCUUUGAUUUUCUGCAGUUUGAAUAUGAUAAUACCUAAGUAUUAGCUGGGCAUGGUGUAAACCCUAGGUGUAGGGUUUUUUGGUAUGUAUCCUGCUUGGAGUUUUCUGAGUGUCCUGGAUCUAUGGUUUGGUGCUUGUCAUUAAUUCGGAAAAUUCUCAGCCAUUAUUACUUAAAUAUUUUGUUUUUCUUUUUUAUCUUUUUUGAGAUGGAGUCCCACUCUGUUGCACAUGCUGUAAUGCAGUGGUGUGAUCUCGACUCACUGCAACCUCUGCCUCCCAGAUUCAAGAGAUUCUCGUGCCUAAGCCACCCGAGUAGCUGGGAUUACAGGUGCGCGCCACCAAACCCAGCUUGUUUUUGCAUUUUUAGUAAAGAUAAGGUUUCACCAUGUUGGCCAGGCUGGUCUCAAACUCCUGGCCUCAAGUGAUCCACCUGCCUUGGCCUUCCAAAGUGCUGGGAUUGGGCCAGGUGUGGUGGCUCACGCCUAUAAUCCCAGCACUUUGGGAGGCCGAGGCAGGCGGAUUACGAGGUCAAGAGAUCGAGACCAUCCUGGCCAACAUGGUGAAACCCCGUGUCUACUAAAAAUACAAAAAUUAGCCAGGCGUGGUGGCAUGCACCUGUAGUCCCAGCUACUUGGGAGGCUGAGGCAGGAGAAUCGCUUGAACCUGGGACGUGGAGGUUGCAGUAAGCUGAGAUUGUGCCACUGCACUUCAGCCUGGUGACAGUGGGAGACUCCAUCUCAAAAAAAUAAAAUAAAAUAACAAAGUGCUGGGAUUACAGGCAUGAGACAUUGGGCCAUUGCACUCCAGCCUGGGGAACAAGGCUGAAACUGUCUCAAAAAAAAAAAAACAAAAAACAAAAUUAGCCAGGCAUGGUGGCGUGUGCGUGUAGUCCCAGCUGCUUGGGAGGCUGAGACAUGAGAAUCGCUUGAACCUGGGAGGUGGAGGUUGCAGUGAGUUGAGAUUGUGCCACUGCACUCCAGCCUGGGCGACAGAGCAAGACUCUGUCUCAAAAAAAAAAAAAAGUCAUUGAUAAUGCCCCUACAAAGUAGGUACUAUUAUUUUCCUCAUUUGAUAGGCGAGAAAACAGAAAAGUGGUUAUGUAACCUAUCCAAGGACAUUUGGAUUUAUGUGACAGAAGAGGGGUUUCAAUGUAAGCAUCUGGACUCCAGAAGUCACCCUCUUACUGCUGUGCUGUAAUGCAGUAGUCCUCAGCCUUUAUGGCACUAGGGACCAGUUUCAUGGAAGGCAAUUUUUCCAUAGAUGGCAGGGUGGGGGGAUGGUUUUAAGAUGAUUCGAAUACAUAACAUUCAUCAUUAGAUUCUCAUACCAGUCCGUGGCCCGGGGGUUGCGGACCCCUGCUGUAGUGCCUCUCCCAGUGUCCAAAUGCACAUUUAUCCUUUCAUUCAGCAAACACAUGUGUUAAGCAUUGUUCUAGGCACAGGAGAACAAGACAGACAAGGUCCCUGUCCUCAUAACGUGUAUAUUACAGUAGGAGAGACAGCAAAUGAACAUGUGAGCAAAUGAACAAACAAAUGUAUUCAGAGAGAGAAGGAUAUAAAGAAUUAAACAGAGUAACAUCACAUAGAGGCCCAAGGUGGGGCAUCUUUACAAAGUGUGGUCAGAGAAGACCUUGCUGAGGAGGUGGCAUUAGUGCUGAGACCUGAAGGAGAGGAGGGUAGAGGAAGAGCAUCCAGAGGGAGGAGUCAAAGCAAAAGCAGGAACGAGGAUGCUGUGUCCAAGGAGCAGAAAGAUGGCCAGCGUGGCUGGUCCAUGUGAGUGCAAGGCCAGAGCGGGGGAUGGGGGCCACAUCAGUGCAAGGCUCUGUCAGGCAGAGUUCAGAUAUUGUUCUACAUAUCACAGGAAGGCACUGCCAGGUCUUAGGCAGGGAGUGACAUGGCCUCAUGCGUUUCCAUGGCUUGAGUAAGCCUCAGACCACAGUCAGGAGACCCCAAAGAGUUUGCGCCUGUUUCAGGAUAAUAGACCAUCCCCCAAGGCUGGGUCUCUGGGGGGUGUGCAUGUCAAGGAGGGAGACUUGUGUGCGAGGCAGCACCCUCAAGUACAGCUCAUGCUGUUAGCAGCAGCAUGCAGUGGCGGUUGUGUAGAAGAGAACAAAACACCAGAACUUAAGUGCAGCUCAGGAAUCCUUAACCUUAUGUGGCUCUCUGUGGGUUCUAAGUCUCCCUUCAGAAAUCCUGUUUCAGUGUUGCCACCUUUCCUAGCCAUGAGCCUAAGCUUCAGAUGCACAACUUUUCUUCUGCACAUCAGAAACAGGUUUGCCCUCUUCCUUUCAAGAUGGGUGGGUGUUGUUGGUUUUCUCCUCCAUGUAAACAGGCAGCAGCAGAAGUGGUCCUGACCCAGAUGCCCUGACAGCUUUUCCUGGUGUGAUUUUGGAAGGUGAGAUUUGCACAUCAUGCCUCACAUUAUCUUCUUCCACAGCAUUUCACCAUCCAGGGCACAUUUGGAACAUUUGGAAGUCAUGUGAAAAGAGCAAAUAGCUUGGUCGUCUCUAAGCAGUGAAGACGGUGAUUUAUCAAUUCAUUAAAGCAUUGCCAUUCCAUGCAUGCUGCAUUGUAACCCCUUCCGUUAUGCGGAAUACUCCGACAAAGUGGUGCAGGUGGGAGGUGGCCUAGCAGGUGAGCGAAAGAGCAAGAAAGAGAGAGAGAAAGGAAACCAGGAAACUCUCCAGAGGCUGCUGCGUGGGCCCGGCAUCUGUAUUGGAAGAAAGACACUGUUUUGAAGGUGAAUUCCGCAUGCAGUCCUGUCAACUGGGAAUCUAUUUGGAAACAUAUUUUCAAGCUUUGCGUUUCAUCCUGUCUUCUUUUCCUAAAGAUCUUUAGAAGUGCUGCACACAGUGAACCUCCUUAAUCAUGUAUUUUCUCGCGACCUUUCUUUGUCUUAGAACCACAGAAGGUUAGAGCUGGGAUCACAGGAGGUUAGAAUUGGGGAACCUUAGAAGCCACGAGUCUAAUUCUUUUCUAACAGCUGAAUAAACUAAGGCCCAAAUGUCUGAGCUUAUUUUGUUUAUUUUCCCAAACCAUCUCCAAAAAUGUUUAUGGACAUUGAAGAAGACUGUAUUGCAAUGCAAUUCCUUGACAAGUCAUUUCUCCCUGUACCUGUCACCAGCCAUGUGGGAUGAGACAGCACAUUGUCAUUGCAUAUUCUUUAUUCCAUUGCUAGCCUGCCAGACACUCUUAUGCUGCUGCUUUCUAGGUUUCCCAACCCACUGAUUAUAUUGCAUUUUGGAUGAUUUCUCCCCCAGCUGCCUUCAUUUGCAUUUUUCUGAAAUCAAAUCUCAUUGUGAUAAUUUCUAUUCAUAUUUCUAACCUCUUUAGAUCCAUCUGUGUUAUUCCUCUUUCCUCAAUGAUGUCUGCAGCACCUCCUAAUUUAGUACCAAUCAGAAAUGUUAUUAACAAAAUGUGUAAGCCUUGUUCCCAGACAUUAAUGAAGAUACGAAAUGAAACAGAUCUAACAGAUACAGUGAGGCCUUCUGUUAGUGGCCUCUUCCCCACCCCUUUAUUAGAUAUUGAAUUGUUUUUCAUCAUUGGUCCUUGUUUAUCAAAGUUCAGGCUUUUCAAUCAUCCUGUUCCAAUUCCCAUUAAUGCCAGCCAGCGCUCUCGUCACGGGAUUAUCUCAGGAAUGCUGCCUCAAUGCCUUAUCACGCUCCAAAGAUACAAUGUCUACAGGAGUCAUUGAAUCAGCAGUUUUAAUUAAUGAUAAUAUUUAUUGAGUUUCAGAUGCCAAAUGGAAAUUUCUAGCUUUGCUUUUAAAAACUCUUUCAGAAGGCAGAAGCAUUUGAUUAUUUUUACCUUCUUCCAUUUGAAUAUUUCAUAGCUUUUCAUGUAAAUCUGCUGUUUUUAAUUACCACUACAUUUAAAAGUGCAUAAGCCACUAUGUGCUUAUGAAGAACACAAGUAAUAUCUAAGAAGUGGCCCUUGGAUGAGGAGCUUACAAUCUGAUAGAGCUGGCUAGACUUGUGUGCAAUAAAGACUCUUAUAAAAAGACAACGUGGCGUUAAAUUGCUCAAAAGUGUCACACUGACUUUUAGGGCUGCAGAAAUUUGAAUAUGGGCUAGGAUCAUUGGACAAAGCCUACUGCAGAAGGGGAGAUUUGAGCUGCACAUGAAAAGGAUUUGUCUAGGCAAAGAAGAAGAGGAGGGUAGGGAAAACAUCUGAGCAAAGGUAGGGAGAGAGGAAUGAUUAGAACAUACUGUAUAAGGUCACAGCAUAGUUAGAAAAUCACCCAGAUUGAAGAAGCUGACAGGGUAUAGUGUGUUACAAAUCUGGCUACCCAUGUGACAUCUCUUAUUGGAUGUCCUAACUUAGGCUUCGCAAACUCAGCAUGCCCCAAAUCAAAGUUGUGACUCUACCUUCUCCCCGAAAUUCUGUUCUUCUCCUAGCUUUCCCACCAGAAGUCUGGGUAUCAUCCAUGAUUUCUCCAUUUCCCUAAUUAUCGCUCACCAAUUUUUAAGCCAAUCCCUUCAGUUCUAUCACUAAAUUACAUCUUGAAUCUGCACACUUCUCAUUUUUACCACCUUUUAGUUCAAGAUCAACUUUUUUCCUAGGCUACUGCAAAAGCCUUCUGAACUGGUCUUCUGAUUCAAUGCUUGCCCCUCUCUAUAUUGUAGCCAGAGAGAGCUUAUUGGAAAUUAAACGACUCUCCAGCUAAAUAAAUAAAUAAAUAAAUAAAUAAAUAUUUCAGUGGCUUAGCAUUGUAUUUGGAAUGAAAUCCAACCUCACUGUUAUGUUCUAUGGGGCCCUGCGUGAUCAGGGCCUUGCACACCAGUUCUCUGUGUCCACCCCAAGUUGGUGUACUUCAGUGUAAUUCUGACACUAACCAUCCAGGGUUAACAUCAGAUCCCACAAGUUAAAGGCUGAGUGCUCCACAUGGCUGUCCCCACUUCAGACGCCUGCUGCAAGGGCUGCAGAACAGUAGUGGGGUCCCCAGGCUACCUGUACUUCUGAAUGACCAGUGAUAAGUUUGGGGGUUUCCACAAUCUCCUUAGGUUUGAUAAUUCACUAGAACAACAUGCAGAACUCAGGAAAGUCCUAUACUUACGAUUACAGUUAACCCUUGAACAGAAUGGGUUUGAACUGCGCAGCUUCACUUAAAUGCAUGGAUUUUCUUCUGCCUCCACCACCUCUGAGACAGCAAGAUCAGCCCCUCCUCCUCUCAGCCUACUCAAUGCGAAGAAGACAAGGAUGAAGACCUUUAUGAUGAUCCACUUCCACUUAAUGAAUAGUAAAUAUAUUUUCUCUUCUUA